GAAGUUGUGGGCUUUGCCUGCUAUCUCUUACCCAUGUCUUUUGAGUACUUACGUUUCCUCGGUGGGUUCGCCCGCCGAUUGGACAAUUUAAACCCUUUGCAGUUGCAAUCAGCGUCUGAAAAACAUAAUAGUUACAACUUUCAACAACGGAUCUCUUGGUUCUGGCAUCGAUGAAGAACGCAGCGAAAUGCGAUAAGUAGUGUGAAUUGCAGAAUUCAGUGAAUCAUCGAAUCUUUGAACGCACAUUGCGCCCCUUGGUAUUCCAUGGGGCAUGCCUGUUCGAGCGUCAUUUGUACCUUCAAGCUUUGCUUGGUGUUGGGUGUUUGUCUCGCCUUUGCGUGUAGACUCGCCUUAAAACAAUUGGCAGCCGGCGUAUUGAUUUCGGAGCGCAGUACAUCUCGCGCUUUGCACUCAUAACGACGACGUCCAAAAGUACUUUUUUACACUCUUGACCUCGGAUCAGGUAGGGAUACCCGCUGAACUUAAGC
This 488-nucleotide ribosomal RNA is filed under the name Phoma herbarum. RNAcentral describes it as "eukaryotic LSU rRNA". The stretch from base 136 to 289 matches the Rfam family "5.8S ribosomal RNA". The record is from RNAcentral. Lineage: Eukaryota; Fungi; Ascomycota; Dothideomycetes; Pleosporales; Didymellaceae.